RNAcentral lists this ribosomal RNA (443 nucleotides) under uncultured bacterium. RNAcentral's name for it is "partial 16S ribosomal RNA". It matches the Rfam family "Bacterial small subunit ribosomal RNA", at positions 338 to 795 of the family's 1533-position model. The record is from RNAcentral.
CCUACGGGAGGCAGCAGUGGGGAAUAUUGGGCAAUGGGCGCAAGCCUGACCCAGCAACGCCGCGUGAAGGAAGAAGGCUUUCGGGUUGUAAACUUCUUUUCUCAGGGACGAAGCAAGUGACGGUACCUGAGGAAUAAGCCACGGCUAACUACGUGCCAGCAGCCGCGGUAAUACGUAGGGGGCAAGCGUUAUCCGGAUUUACUGGGUGUAAAGGGCGUGUAGGCGGGAAAGGAAGUCAGAUGUGAAAACCAUGGGGUCAACCUGUGGACUGCAUUUGAAACUGUUUUUCUUGAGUACUGGAGAGGCAGACGGAAUGCGUGGUGGAGCGGUGAAAUGCGUAGAUAUUAGGAGGAACCCCAGUGGCGAAGGCGGUCUGCUGGACAGCAACUGACGCUGAGGCGCGAAAGCGUGGGGAGCAAACAGGAUUAGAUACCCGAGUAGUC